Molecule: ribosomal RNA, 468 nt
Filed under: uncultured bacterium
Lineage: Bacteria
Description: partial 16S ribosomal RNA
Rfam family: Bacterial small subunit ribosomal RNA
Source: RNAcentral
GACGAACGCUGGCGGCGCGCUUAACACAUGCAAGUCGAACGGAGAGGCCCUGCUUUUGUUGGUUUCUCGAGUGUCGAACGCGUGUGUGACACGUGAGUAACCUGCCCUUUACUUUGGGAGACCUUCGGGGAACUCGGGCUAUUAUCGCGUAUGAGCUCCUGCUGCAUGUUGGGGGUUGGAAAGUUGCGGUGGUUGGGUAUGGCCUCGCGGCUUAUCCGCUUGGUGGUUGGGUGGGGGCUUACCAAGGCUUUGACGGGUAGCCGGCCUGAGAUGGUGAGCGGCCAGGCUGGGACUGAGCUACGGCCCAGACCACUAUGGGAGGCAGCAGUGGGGAAUAUUGCAUAAUGGGCGGGAGCCUGACGCAGCAAAGCGGCGUGCGGGAGAACGGGCUUCGGGUUGUAAACCACUUUCGCCUGUGACGAAGCGUGAGUGACGGUAAUGAGUAAAGAAGCACCGGCUAACUACGUG